GACGAACGCUGGCGGCGUGCUUAACACAUGCAAGUCGAACGGAAAGGCCCUGCUUUUGUGGGGUGCUCGAGUGGCGAACGUGUGAGUAACACGUUAGUAACCUGCCCUUGACUUUGGGAUAACUUCAGGAAACUGGGGCUAAUACCGGAUAUGAGCUCCUGCUGCAUGGUGGGGGUUGGAAAGUUUCGGCGGUUGGGGAUGGACUCGCGGCUUAUCAGCUUGUUGGUGGGGUAGUGGCUUACCAAGGCUUUGACGGGUAGCCGGCCUGAGAGGGUGACCGGCCACAUUGGGACUGAGAUACGGCCCAGAAUCCUACGGGAGGCAGCAGUGGGGAAUAUUGCACAAUGGGCGGAAGCCUGAUGCAGCAACGCCGCGUGCGGGAUGACGGCCUUCGGGUUGGAAACCGCUUUCGCCUGUGACGAAGCGUGAGUGACGGUAAUGGGUAAAGAAGCACCGGCUAACUACGUG
RNAcentral lists this ribosomal RNA (468 nucleotides) under uncultured bacterium. RNAcentral's name for it is "partial 16S ribosomal RNA". It matches the Rfam family "Bacterial small subunit ribosomal RNA", at positions 28 to 507 of the family's 1533-position model. The record is from RNAcentral.